AUGGGGAGCCACCAGGCGCGGGCCAGGACGAGGCAGAAGGCGGGGAGGCGGACAACGCCAGCGGGAGGCAGCCGGUGCGGGGCCGCGACUCGGCGGGCGCGGAGGCUCGACGCUGCGGCGGCCCGAACGGGCCAGGCCACCCGUGCAGGGGCCAAGGGAGGCCGGAUGCGGCCGGACCAGGGCGGAAGAGGCCCGGCGGCGGGGGCCGCGGGUCUUCCGCGAAGAGGAGACGUGAGGCGGCGUCCGCGGCUGGGAAGACGCGAGGACGGGAGGAGCGCAAGCAAUGGCUGCAGGUGGUGGUGCUGCAGUGCUCGGGACACACGCGGGCGUACAGAGCAGCGUGCCAGCAGGGCCUGUAGGCAUGGGCGCGCGCGUGCGUUGUGUGGACGUUGUACGAGCAGUGUACGGGCGUUGUCCGACCACUGUAUGAUAUGGGAGCAGUGUAUGGAAUGGUUUUACGGCCAUUGGCAAGCAAUAAUGCAUGGGUUGCGUACUGGGCAAUGGCUGGCUAGUGUAUGGGAUAUAUCUGGUUCGCAUCCGACCAAUGUACAGGGAUUAUCUGGCCAGUAUCUGGCUACGGUAUGA
This 585-nucleotide ribosomal RNA is filed under the name Triticum aestivum (bread wheat). RNAcentral's name for it is "partial small subunit ribosomal RNA". The record is from RNAcentral. Lineage: Eukaryota; Viridiplantae; Streptophyta; Magnoliopsida; Poales; Poaceae.